GACGAACGCUGGCGGCGUGCUUAACACAUGCAAGUCGAACGGUGAAGCACCUCCCUUUUGGUGGGUGUGGAUGAGUGGCGAACGGGUGAGUAACACGUGAGUAACCUGCCCCCUUCUUCUGGAUAACCGCAUGAAAGUGUGGCUAAUACGGGAUAUUCUGGGUCUGUCGCAUGGCGGGCCUGGGAAAGAUAUUGUUUCGGUGGGGGAUGGGCUCGCGGUCUAUCAGCUUGUUGGUGGGGUGAUGGCCUACCAAGGCGGUGACGGGUAGCCGGCCUGAGAGGGUGGACGGUCACACUGGGACUGAGACACGGCCCAGACUCCUACGGGAGGCAGCAGUGGGGAAUAUUGCACAAUGGGCGCAAGCCUGAUGCAGCGACGCCGCGUGAGGGAUGGAGGCCUUCGGGUUGUAAACCUCUUUCGCCAGUGAAGCAGGCCUGUCCCUUUUGUGGGUGGGUUGACGGUAGCUGGAUAAGAAGCGCCGGCUAACUACGUG
This 493-nucleotide ribosomal RNA is filed under the name uncultured bacterium. Its description in RNAcentral is "partial 16S ribosomal RNA". It matches the Rfam family "Bacterial small subunit ribosomal RNA", at positions 28 to 507 of the family's 1533-position model. The record is from RNAcentral.